GGGAGAGAGAGAGAGUGGGAGAGAGAGAGAGAGUGGGAGAGAGAGAGAGAAGAAGAGAGAGAGAGAGGGAGAGAGAGAGAGAGAGAGUGGGAGAGAGAGAGAGAGAGAGGAGUAAACAUGGCCGCUUGGCACAGCGCUGAUAUCCGAACACAGAUUAGCAGAUUGAAUGAGACGAGGCUGGCGGGGUGUGCGCGUGUGUGUGCGCGUGUGUGUGUAGUGGGAUGUUAAUAGAGAGUGAUCCUGGACUGUGUUUUAUGCCCUAUGCAGUGUCAGUGUGUUGCUUUAGUUGUGCGCUUGUGCUGGUCGCUUGUUGUCUGUGUGUAAAGCGGUUGUUAAAUUCAGGGCUGUGUUUAAUUAAUAACGUGGUGCGUUUAUAACGAGCAGAUCGUUAACUCGGAGCUCAGUGUUGCUUUUCUGCUGCCCUAAUUACCGUGGUUUUGGUCUGGAUCGUUGUUGGGAAUGUUCCUGACUCUGUGUGUGUCCAGUAUCAGUGUGUGUGUGUGUGUGUGUGUGUGUGUGUGUGUGUGUGUGUGUGGAGAUGAUUUGAUCCACUUUAUUUUUGCAUGAGUACUCGUGAGAGUCGAGAACCUUUUUUAAAGCUCAGUUCAGCUCAGUGGAACACGUUCGUGACGUUGUGGAAGUGUAACUCAUAUCGUCCGCUGUAGUGUAAACGGUUUCCACGUUAGUCGCUCGUUACGGUAGAUGAUGUUUAAUGAAGUCAGACUUUUAUUUACACAUCGAUUCGUUAAACAAUCCUGAAGUUUCCUAUCGUUUAUAAAGUUCAAAUAAGUUCCUAAAAUGACAGAUGGUUAUGUUAAAUAUUAAGCGGAUGACGCCAGACUAUUUAGGGGGAAAUGAGGGUUUUAGAUGUUUAUAUUAUAAUGAAGCAUCAGAAUGAAUAUUAUUCACUGAAACCGAACAAUUAUAAUACAAGUCAUAUAAUAAUAAUAAUAAUAAUAAUAAUAAUAAUAAUAAUAAUAAUAAAACCCCACUUGACUUUGUGCUGUUACAUAAAUUCCAAAAACGAUAUGAUUAUUUUACUGUACAUUAAUUAAUGUCUAAUAACGUACUAUAAAACAAUCAUUUAAAAACCCUCACAUUUACAGAUCAGUUCUUUCAGGAAGAUAUUACUCUGAGGGUGUUCUUUUUUUUAAAAUGAAGUGACAGUAAAGAAAUGUUUACCUGUUUUCUGACACUGCAUUUAAUAUUAUUUCACUGUAUUAUUUUUAUUCUAAUUAUUAUAUAUCUUUGUUUGUGUGUGUGUGUGUGUGUGUGUGUGUGUGUGUGUGUGUGUGUGUGUGAAAACCACUAUUUGUAUCGUUUUUAGUCUAAAAGAUUUUGGGUAAAACUGAGACUUGUAAUAUUAUCUAGACCAAACGUUUCAUACUAUGUGAUGGUUAUAUGAAGACAUUUUUAUCGGAAUGUUUUUGUUUACCUGAUUCUCUUGUUUAUUUGAGUUAUUUUGUAGUUUUUAUGCCUGAAAAUGAUUUUUGUGUUAAUUUUUGGUCAAACAUAACGUGUGGACAGACGUUCAGUGCAUCACUACUACAGGUUUGUUGUAAGGUUUAAUUUUCUAAAUAGAAAUGAAAAAUAGACGUGACUGUAGACCAAAGGUUUUACACUUUCCCUGUGUAUUAUCUAUUAAAAUAUGAAUGAAUGGUUAGUGUGACUUAUAUUCACGGCAGCUUGGAUUUUGGGCAGAUUUUGGGCUGAUUGCACUCGAGUUUAUAUGCUGUACUGUAGAGACCUGAUUAAAGAUCAAACAAAAGCUCUAUGAUAUGAUAUAUGAUCAUUUCUGUAUGACUCUACACAGACGGUUAUGUCGUAAGCCAUAUGAGCGUGAGGUGUAUGCACGAGUCUGUAUUUUUAUUUCCUCGUGCGAGGGUCACUGUGAUGAGUGCUCACAGGUGCUGAAGGUUUGCGUUACUGCCAUUCUUUACAAUUCUGCCUUAUUUCACCUAACAAUAAGUGCAAUAUAUAUCUAUAUCUAUAUUUAUAUUUACUUCUGUAUUUAAUCACAGCCAGAUUAAUGAUUGUAGAGCUAAAAGUCUGCGUUUUGGACUCGGCCCUGUGUAUCGAUUUAUUAUUUUUUUACUUUGGUCCUUUUUUUUUUCUUCUUCUUCUUUUUUUCUUUUUUUUUUUUUUUUUUAAAUCCAGAGCGUACAAGUGAUGCAUGAGAGCGUGGAAAUUAAUGUGCUGUAACAUGAACGUGUGUGUGUGUGUGUUGAUGUUGACAAUAACACUGUAAAUGUCUGUUAAUGAACUUCAACAGCUAGCUUCAGCAAGAGAUAUUAACAUUCGUGUCUUUGGUUUAAUACUAAUAGAGUUGUCUCAUUUAUAUAUAUAUAUAAAUAUAUAUAUAUAUAAAUACUGUUGUGGUAAAAACUUAGCGCAUGACAGUAUUUCACUGAAAUUGUAUAAUUCUAUCUCUAAUCAGAGUUGUUUGAUUUAAUCGUGAGUGUGUAAUGUACUUGUGUGAAUCCAAAAAUACGUCCACAAAGCUGUGUGCUACUAUUUUAAGCUAUAAAUAUAAAUCUAUGGAUAGAAUAUAAUACCAUAUAAUAUAAUAAGGAUCAAGGCCAAGUUUAAACGACUCUUUAGACAAGUCUGAAGACCUUCUGAGAAAGUACCUUAAAACAUUUAAAACAUUAUGGAAAAACAAAUGAGUGCAUUUGUAAUGUAAGAUCUUCCUUUCUCAUAGGCAAUAAAGGUCACAUUGCAAUAUAAAUACUUUCCAUGUCAGUAUUUUCUUUAUUUCCAGUCAGUACAUACGACACAAAACUAACAACACACGGAACACGAUUUGCACGUUUAAACAGACACUGCAGAAAUAAAUAAAUAAAUAUCUAGUGAAAUUAUCUUGAAUAUUAUUCAACAUAUCUGGUAUUUCCUAUGAUAAGCUUACCGUAAAGAUACCAUAAAUAUAAGAUUAUUAAACCUAUUUCUAGGCAUUAUUUACUCAUUUUAAGCUUGAAAUCGAUUUGUUCUGUUGAGCAGGUAGUUUUGUAAUUUUAUGCGUUUAUUUCUAAAAAAGAAGCAAAAUUAUCUGCCAAUAGAAUGAAAAGCUUGAAAUUAGUAAAAAAUAAAUAAAUUUAAGUCUAUAAAUAGUUUUGAUUAUCUCAUAGUGUACUGUACGUGGUUUCUGGUCAUCUUGUAAUAGGAAAUACAGCUGACUAUGUUCAAGAUCAUUUCCUAAGAUGUCGGUUUUUGCGAUGUUUAGACAAAAAUCUCAUUUAUACAUCUUGUAUGCAAUUUUUUUCCCUUUUAGUGUUCUUUUAAGACGGUAAAUCAACCCAAAAAUUGUACAGUGAAAACUUCUUCGGUCUUUGUACAAAUUAAAAUGGAUAUUAGAAAGUUGUUUUGUUUAAAUGGAAAUGUAAUUGAGUAACAUUACAGAAGACUCAAGAACCUGGGUUCUGUUAGUUCUAGUUUGAAUGUUAAAUACUUUAAAGUUUAUGAACUAAUGUGGCAGAGUUUCAGCAAAACUUUAAAUAACUUUAAACUCACACCUAACACCCUGCAGUGCAGCGUUAUACCGCCCAUUUUCUUACGUUAUA
Ictalurus punctatus (channel catfish) is the source of this 3557-nucleotide long non-coding RNA. NCBI's taxonomy places the organism in Eukaryota, Metazoa, Chordata, Actinopteri, Siluriformes, Ictaluridae. The record is from Ensembl.